This is a long non-coding RNA of Pogonomyrmex barbatus (red harvester ant), 740 nucleotides long. The record is from RefSeq and is a predicted model, not a curated record. Lineage: Eukaryota; Metazoa; Arthropoda; Insecta; Hymenoptera; Formicidae.
GACCAAGGCGUAGACAAAGACGAAUACUCGAGCGAUGAUCGAGCGAUAACGCUGUUAUGACAAGAAAUCUUGCUACUUAUGAAUGAAUCACGUAACAUAUAUUUUUUAUACGGUAAUUAAAACAUCUAGUAGUAUUGUUGAUAUGAUACAACGUUCACAAGAGAUGAGAAUCGCGUUGCCAUGAAGAAGAGUUUUAAUACUCGAGCGUUUUAAGCGCACUUGCAGCUAUUUCUGAAUUAAUCGAUAUACAGAGUGUCCCAGAAACGGCGAGAAUUUCUGCCGAGAAAAGAGAACUUGCUAUUUACGAAUCAAUCAAGUGCAAUAAAGCUUAACUGACCUGAACUCUCUAAUUGUCUCUGAAUUAAUCGAUAUGUAAGUUAUCAUAUUAUAUGGAUCAAGUAAAAAUCGAGUGGAACAUAUAAAUCAUCACUGGCUACUCUAAUUUCAUCUGCCAGUUGCCUAACUUCAAAGUGCUAUAAGCUUUGCCACGUAAAGUUCCUGAUUAAUCGGGUAAUGCGGUCUGCCAUGGAAAGACGAUUUCAACAUCAAUGUCGGCGAUCUAUCAUGCUCUAAUUGCAAGUUCAGGGAGUUCAGCAAAUGUGGAUCCCAACUAAUAUCAUAGUUUGAGAAAAAGAUUGCAAUUUUCAUCAAUUGCUGUCGUAAAGUUCAUUCGAAAUUUAAUCAUUGUAUUUUUCUAAAAAAAACUCUAAUGCACUCUGUGAUCUAUAAAAAAAAUGUAC